Molecule: ribosomal RNA, 195 nt
Filed under: Triticum aestivum (bread wheat)
Lineage: Eukaryota; Viridiplantae; Streptophyta; Magnoliopsida; Poales; Poaceae
Description: partial small subunit ribosomal RNA
Source: RNAcentral
CACAUACUCUUCUAAAAAAAAGAGCAGACCCCAUUGAAGACGGGAGUGAGGUAUAACAAGGCCAUUUCCGUCUACCUUCUCACGGAGCUGUAUGUGGACGUUACUGCUCAUACAACUCCCAGCUAGCAAGUAGUUAGCUUUCCUCUAGAAGUCAUGGAAGUGUGGAUAAAUUGACAGAAGGUUUUUAUUUCUUAA